This 394-nucleotide long non-coding RNA is filed under the name Hordeum vulgare. RNAcentral describes it as "long non-coding RNA (HVUL_LNC006820)". The record is from RNAcentral. Lineage: Eukaryota; Viridiplantae; Streptophyta; Magnoliopsida; Poales; Poaceae.
UCAUAGUAUUUACGCAUAUGUUAAGUUUUGAUAGACUUCUUUAGGAUUGCAUGGAGGGGUGUAUUCAACAAAGGAGAGAUGUAUUGGUGGUAGAUUUUUUGCAGGGAAUAUGUAUCUAAUACUACUGUAGAUAAAUGUUCUGGAUCUGCCGCUUGGAUAAUAGAUCUGAUGAUGCUAUUUGAGAACUUUACUAGGCCCAUAAUCCGCGACAUUCUGAUGGCUGCAUAGAUUAGGGGGGAAAUGGACAAGAUAUUGUAUCUUUUCUUGCCAUAUUAGUGUUAAAUAAUUACCCUGUACCUUAGUAUCCAUAGAUAACGUUUUUGUAUAGCAGAGGUGGAUAGCUAGAUCAUAAAAUUGGCUGAUUUGCAUGCCUGAUUUGAAAGUACGAUAUGUU